UACGUAGGGACCGAGCGUUGUCCGGAUUCAUUGGGCGUAAAGAGCUCGUAGGCGGCUGUUCAAGUCGAACGUGAAAACUCGGAGCUCAACUCCGAGCCUGCGUUCGAGACUGGAUGGCUAGAGUCUGGUAGGGGGAUCUGGAAUUCCUGGUGUAGCGGUGGAAUGCGCAGAUAUCAGGAGGAACACCGGUGGCGAAGGCGGGAUCCCGGGCCAGUACUGACGCUGAGGAGCGAAAGCGUGGGGAGCAAACAGG
RNAcentral lists this ribosomal RNA (253 nucleotides) under uncultured bacterium. RNAcentral describes it as "partial 16S ribosomal RNA". It matches the Rfam family "Bacterial small subunit ribosomal RNA", at positions 524 to 776 of the family's 1533-position model. The record is from RNAcentral.